This 65-nucleotide transfer RNA is filed under the name Hydroporus erythrocephalus. Its description in RNAcentral is "tRNA-Asp". Lineage: Eukaryota; Metazoa; Arthropoda; Insecta; Coleoptera; Dytiscidae. RNAcentral also lists the same sequence under 2 other names. The record is from RNAcentral.
AAAGAUUUAGUUAAAAUAUAACAUUAGAAUGUCAAACUAAAAUUAUUAAUAAUUAAUAAUCUUUA